UACGGGGGGGGCAAGCGUUGUUCGGAAUUACUGGGCGGAAAGGGCUCGUAGGCGGCCAACUAAGUCGGAUGUGAAAUCCCCAGGCUUAACCUGGGAACUGCAUCCGAUACUGGAUGGCUUGAAUCCGGGAGAGGGAUGCAGAAUUCCAGGUGUAGCGGUGAAAUGCGUAGAUAUCUGGAGGAACACCGGUGGCGAAGGCGGCAUCCUGGACCAACACUGACGCUGAGGAGCGAAAGCCAGGGGAGCAAACGGG
Molecule: ribosomal RNA, 253 nt
Filed under: uncultured bacterium
Lineage: Bacteria
Description: partial 16S ribosomal RNA
Rfam family: Bacterial small subunit ribosomal RNA
Source: RNAcentral